GUUCUCAUCUCAACGGAUGUGAAAAUACAUGAUAGAUUAAAUCAUAACCAUUCUGAUGAGAACACCAUAACUUAUUCUACACCUACACAACACUAGAUCCCAAACCUGAAAAUCUGUCCUAUGGGAUAUAUACAUAGCAAAAGAAUAUUCUUCUGUUACAUUUUGUUAUUAGCUAGCAAAUAGGAUUUAGACACAUGUAUAGGUGGUUAUUUUGAUUCAUUUAUUCUUUCAUAGAAUAAUCUUUUAUAUAGAUUGUCUCUGUACAGAAUGAAUACACAGAAAAUUUCCAUAAAAUUGUCUUCAUUUUACAGUCUUUCAUAGUAUCAGAGUUGUAGCUCUUUCUGGGAAAAAUCAGCUCCUUUCUUCUUCCCUUUUCUGCGUCAUAACCUUCACCAUGAGUGAAACAACAGACACCACUGUUGCUGUCUUCUUCUGCUAAUGCAGUCAAUUUUGAUCCAAAUAACCCAUAUUUUCUUCACUCAUCAGAUGCACCAGGUAUGAAUCUUGUAAAUGUAGUAUUUGAUGGAAGAGGCUUUCAAGGCUGGAGGAGAUCAGUUCUGAUUGCUCUUUCAGCAAAGAACAAGUUGGGGUUCAUUAAUGGAACAUGCCCUGCUCCUGCCAUCACUUCCAAUGAGUAUCAUCCAUGGACAAGAUGCAAUGACAUGGUGACUUCCUGGUUACUGAACUCACUAUCCAAAGAUAUUGGAGUUAGUGUCAUAUAUUCCAAAUCUGCUAAAGAGCUUUGGACAAGUCUUGAACACAGAUUUGGAAGGUCAAAUGGAGCUAAGUUGUAUCACCUGCGCAAAGAACUAUCCAGUUUAGUACAAGGAACAAGUGAUAUAGCAGGUUACUUCACAAAGCUCAAACGUCUAUGGGAUGAAUUAGACUCUUUAAUAUGUGAUGUUAAGUGUGUAUGUGCUUGUGUGUGUUCUAGUAAACAGAAACUGGAAAAAUCCCUAGAAGAUGAAAGACUUAUACAGUUUCUUAUGAGUCUAAAUGAUGUCUAUGGACAGGCAAGGAGAAACAUUUUGAUGAUGAACCCUUACCUAGCUUGGAUCUUGCUUAUUCUCUGGUAUUGCAGGAUGAGAGUCAGAGAGAGAUCUAUAUGAAUCCCCUCCUCUCUGCUGACUCUUCAUCCUUCAUGGUGGGCACUCAAGCUAACCUUGCAGCACAAGGAAAUUUUGUGCAAAGGAAUAACAAACAAGGACAAAGAAACAUUGGGCAAUUUCAGAAGCAAUCUCAAAAAUCAGGAAACAACAUGCAAUUCCAAAGAUCAGGAAGCAAUAUGCAGAAAAAUGGGAAUACUCCGCAAAGAAACUUUGUUGCAAAAGGAAAGAAGAACAAGUUCAAUCCUAACUUAUCUUGCACCCAUUGCAAGAAAAUAGGACAUUCAGUGGGAGAUUGCUAUAGAAUCAUUGGUUUUCCUGAAGAUUUUGAAAUCACCAAUCCUAGAGGUACUCAAGUUCAAUUCAGAAGCAAUGGAGCUAUAACAGGGGAACAAGGAGAGGAUGUAAGCAACUAUUCUGAGGUUCUGAAUCAGCACCUUUCCAAGGAUCAAUUUUCACAAUUAGUCCAGAUGAUAAAGCAAGUAAAAGCUCCAGAUGCAGGGAGUUUAAAUUCAGAAAUCAACACAAAUGCAGUAGCUGGUACUAUUAUGAAGUACACUGGAAGUUGUUUUUCAGUUUUUAACACUAAUACUUGGAUAAUUGAUUCAGGAGCCUCAGAACAUAUGUGUUUUGAUUCAAAUGCUUUCAUUUUUUUGAAACCCCUUCCAGUUCCUUUACAUAUAAAUACGCCCAAUUCUUUCAAAGUGACAGUCACACAUACUGGGAAUUCCUAUCUCUGCUGAAUUCAUUUUAGAAAAUGUCCUUCAUGUUCCCAGUUUCAAAUAUAACCUGUUAUCAGUUAAUAGGUUUUGUGUUCAAUUUCACUACUUAAUGUUAUUUACUCAUAACUUGUGUCUCUUGUAGGCCCCUUUAGUGAAGAGGGCUCAAGUUUUUGGUGAAGAAAAGGAAGGACUAUAUCUGUUGCAACCUAGUGGUGAUAGGUCUAGCUCAAAGGAGAAGUGUUUUUUAUCUUCAAAUCAACGUGUUCUUAGUCCAGUUUUAGUUGAUUUUCCUUUUUCUGCAAAUGCAGCUUCUGAUGUAAACCUUUGGCACAUUAGAUUGGGGCAUUUGCCUUUUUCAUCAAUGAAGCAUCUCAUUUUUAUUUCAAGUUUUCCUAAUUCUGAAUGUUUCUGUCAUAUUUGUCCCCAAGCUAGGCAAACUAGGAUUCCUUUUCCUUUGAGUCAAAUUACUUCCAAAAUAGCAUUUGAAUUAAUUCGUGUUGAUACAUGGGAACCCUAUAAGGAAUCCACCUACAAUGGCUUUAAGUACUUUUUGACUAUUGUGGAUGACUUUAGCAGAGGAACUUGGACCUUUAUAUUAAGCACAAAAUCUAAUGCUUUUUCAGUUUUUAAGGAUUUUCUCACUAUGGUUGAAAGGCAAUUUGGGGUAAAGGUCCAAAUAAUAAGGACAGACAAUGCAUUUGAACUAGGUAAAGGCUCUCAACAGGCUGCUUUCCUUAGUUAUCAAGGAAUCUUGCAUCAAACAUCUUGUGUAGCCACACCUCAACAGAAUGGGAUUGUUGAAAGGAAGCACAGGCACCUUCUAGAAAUGGAAAGGGCUUUGUUGUUUCAAUCCAAGGUGCCUAUACCAUACUGGGGAGAAUGCUUAUUGACAGCCACAUUUUUUAAUCAACAGGCUGCCCUCUAAGGUACUUCAUGGCAAGAAACCUUUUUCUAUACUGUUUAACCAGUCACCCUCUUAUGAAAUGCUUAGGAGUUUUGGAUGUCUUUGUUUUGCAUCUACCCUAUCUGGUGGAAGGAACAAAUUUGAGCCUAGGGCUAAGGCCUAUGGGUCAAAAGGGAUAUAAAGUACUAGAGUCAGACACACAGAAAGUUGUGGUAUCCAGGGAUGUUCAUUUUCAUGAAACCAAAUUCCCUUUUGCCUCAAACACCUUAUCUCCAGAUCUUAUCUUCCCUACUCCCACACCAGUAGAAACAACCUUUCCUGAACCUUCCCCAACCUCUCCUUUACCUGAACCUAACAAUUCUCACGCACCCAGUCCUUCUAGAAUUCACUCACCAACUAACACUACUCCUCAAUCUCCUCAGUCUUCUUAUCCCUCUGGUCCUAUUACCUAUGAGGAGCAUCCCACACCUGCACCCACACCAGCAGUGAGAAAGUCCACCAGAGUAACUACAUGGCCUAGUCCUCUAAAGGAUUUCAUCUGUAAUAACAUCUACCUCACAGACCUGACCAACUCAUGUUUUGUUAACCCCUCCAACCUAAUAUUUUUUUCUUUUGGAGCUCUCUCUAGUCAUAAUCAGCAGGUACUGCAAUCUGUAUCAGCUAUAUCAGAACCUGGCAGCUUUUCUGAAGCAUCUAAGCAUCCUGGGUGGCAGCAAGCAAUGCAAUCAGAGAUUGAUGCUUUGGAAGCUAAUCACACUUGGGAUGUGGUUAUCUUACCAAAGGGAAAGAAAGCUUUACCUUGUAAAUGGGUUUACAAGGUCAAACAUAAUUCAGAUGGGUCGGUUGAAAGGCUUAAAGCACGACUAGUAGUCGGGGGGACAUCCAACGUGAAGGCAUAGACUACACUGAGACAUUCUCCCCUGCGGUAAAAAUGACCACUAUACGAUGCUUAUUAGCCAUUGCAGUCAAGAAAGACUGGCCCAUUCAUCAAAUGGACGUCAAUAAUGCAUUCCUACAUGGUACUUUGCAAGAAGAGGUCUUUAUGAAGUUUCGAGCAGGAUUAUCUGCACCUACUGUCAACCAUGUAUAUCUACUGAAGAAAUCCUUGUAUGGAUUAAAACAGGCAUCACGACAGUGGUAUGCCCGUCUUGUAGGUGACUUAAGUUAUAAAGGCUACUCCUCAUCUCUAAAUGAUUACUCCUUAUUUUUAAAAGGAGGAAUAGCCUAAUCUCAGUUGUAGCUGUUUAUUUUGACGACAUUCUAAUUAGUGGCGAUGAUGCAGAAGAGAUUACUGAUCUUAAGUCUUUUCUCAACUCUGAAUUCAAGGUCAAGGACUUGGGAAACUUACAUUACUUUCUAGGCAUGGAAAUACUUCGAGAAAAACAGGGCAUAUUUAUGUGUCAACGUAAGUUUACCUUGGAUUUAUUGAAGGAAUUUGAUGUCUCUGCCCUUCCUUGUGUUUCUUCACCUCUGGAACCUUCUGUCAAAUUGAGUACUGAAAACGGGCCUCUGCUCAGUGAUCCCAUCAUUUAUCGACACCUUGUGGGGAAGUUGAACUAUCUAACCCACACAAGGCCCGACUUAUCCUUCACAGUUUUAAAGUUAAGCCAGUAUAUGCAGCAACCCAGGUCUUCUCACUUCACAGCUGCCCUUCGAGUGUUGAGAUACUUGAAAUCAGACCCAGGUCAAGGGAUUCUUCUAAACUCAGAUCCCUCACUCUCUUUACUAGCAUUUUGUGAUGCUGACUGGGCCUCUUGUCCAGACAGUAGAAGAUGUGUAAGCGGCCUCUACAUCACACUUGGGGGUUCUCCAAUUUCUGGGAAAUCGAAGAAACAAGCCUAUGUAUCUUUAUCGUCAGCUGAAACAGAUUAUCGCUCCAUGCGUAGAGUUAUUGCUGAGCUCACUUGGCUCACGCGUCUUCUCUCUGAUAUCUCUGUAUCUCCAUCUCUGCCCGUGCCGGUCUUCUCUGAUAGCAAAGCUGCUAUCAAUAUUGCUCGAAACCAUGUCUUCCAUGAAAGGACGAAGCAUGUGGAACUCGAUUUCAAUUUUGUUCGGUAACAGUUUCUUUCUGGACUGAUUUCCCUGUCCUUCGUUCCAUCCUCGUCUCAACUCGCAGAUUUAUUCACCAAAUCUCUCUCAGGUCCUUCACAUAGAUCUGCCAUUGGCAAGCUGGGGGUAAUUUCUUUACCCUCCACCUUGAGGGGGAUGUUGAGAAGAAGUCACACUAAUGGCAGCUAUGGCUAUGGGUGUUGGUCUCUCUCAUAAAGAAGAAGAAGAAAGGACACAAGGUUUUUAGACAAAACAGACAAAAGUUUCGGAUACUUCUAGAUCACAUUUGGACUCUCAUUUGAUCUCUCCACGUGUUCUCAUCUCAACGGAUGUGAAAAUACAUGAUAGAUUAAAUCAUAACCAUUCUGAUGAGAACACCAUAACUUAUUCUACACCUACACAACACUAGAUCCCAAACCUGAAAAUCUGUCACAUGGGAUAUAUACAUAGCAAAAGAAUAUUCUUCUGUUACAUUUUGUUAUUAGCUAGCAAAUAGGAUUUAGAC
Molecule: long non-coding RNA, 5286 nt
Filed under: Nicotiana benthamiana
Lineage: Eukaryota; Viridiplantae; Streptophyta; Magnoliopsida; Solanales; Solanaceae
Description: long non-coding RNA (NBEN_LNC019727)
Source: RNAcentral